GGCCCAGAUCGUUUACCGUGAAAAAAUUAGAGUGUUCAAAGCGGGCAGAUAUUUUUCCUGCCACCGAAUACAUUAGCAUGGGAUAAUGGAAUAGGACCCUGACCUCCUAUUUUCAGUUGGUUUUGUUUACAGCGAGGUUAUAUCAGGGUAAUGAUUAAUAGGGAUAGUUGGGGGCAUUAAUAUUUAAUUGUCAGAGGUGAAAUUCUUGGAUUUAUGAAAGAUUAACUUCUGCGAAAGCGUUUGCCAAGGAUGUUUUCAUUAAUCAAGAACGAAAGUUAGGGGAUCGAAGACGAUCAGAUACCGUCGUAGUCUUAACCAUAGACGAUGCCGACCAGCGAUUAGGAGACGUUGAAUCCAAAACACCGCUGUUAAUCCUUUCGGGGGUUAAUAGUUGGUGAAUGACUCCCUAGCAGCUUGUGAGAAG
Molecule: ribosomal RNA, 424 nt
Filed under: Acanthamoeba sp. AG-2012
Lineage: Eukaryota; Discosea; Longamoebia; Acanthamoebidae
Description: SSU rRNA
Rfam family: Eukaryotic small subunit ribosomal RNA
Source: RNAcentral